CCCGCCGGGACAAGGACUGGGGACAUCCCUGUCCCCUGGGCCCUCCCCUCAGAGAUGGGUGGGGCCACCAGGAGCAGCGGGACCAGGGGACCCGGCCCCACGAUGUCCCCACCCCGGGUGGCCCCGGCCUGGCCCGGCUGAGGAAAUCCUGGAAGGAGCCAAAAUUCCCGGGUUUGGCCUCGGGAGGAGGUGGAGAGAGCCGGGAAUGGGGGCAGAGGAGGGAGCGGGGUGGAGGUGCCGGGAUGGGCGGGAGGGGUGGUCCAGGAUGGGAAGGAUGGAAGCUCUGGAAAGGGAUGGAUGCUCCAAGGUGGGAUGGAAGCUCUGGAAAAGGAUGGAUGCUCCAAGGUAGAAUGGAUGAUCCAGGUGGGAUGGAUGUUCCAAGGUUGGAUGGAAGCUCUGGAAAUGGAUGGAUGCUCCAAGGUGGGAUAGAAGUUUUGGAAAAGGAAGGAUGCUCCAAGGUGGGAUGGAAGCUCUGGAAAAUGAUCCAGGAUGGGAUGGAAACUCCAAGGUGGGAUGGAUGCUCCAGAAUAGGGUGGAUAUUGAGGAUUAGAGGGAUGAUCCAGGAAAAGAUGGAUGCUCCUGGGUAGGGGGAACAAUCUGGAUGGAUG
RNAcentral lists this long non-coding RNA (608 nucleotides) under Lonchura striata (white-rumped munia). RNAcentral describes it as "domestica (Bengalese finch) lncRNA (ENSLSDG00000012860.1)". The record is from RNAcentral. Lineage: Eukaryota; Metazoa; Chordata; Aves; Passeriformes; Estrildidae.